UACGUAGGGUGCGAGCGUUAAUCGGAAUUACUGGGCGUAAAGCGUGCGCAGGCGGUUGUGUAAGACAGGUGUGAAAUCCCCGGGCUUAACCUGGGAACUGCGCUUGUGACUGCACAGCUAGAGUAUGGCAGAGGGGGGUGGAAGUUCCACGUGUAGCAGUGAAAUGCGUAGAGAUGUGGAGGAACACCGAUGGCGAAGGCAGCCCCCUGGGCCAAUACUGACGCUCAUGCACGAAAGCGUGGGGAGCAAACAGG
RNAcentral lists this ribosomal RNA (254 nucleotides) under uncultured bacterium. RNAcentral's name for it is "partial 16S ribosomal RNA". It matches the Rfam family "Bacterial small subunit ribosomal RNA", at positions 524 to 776 of the family's 1533-position model. The record is from RNAcentral.